This 301-nucleotide ribosomal RNA is filed under the name uncultured bacterium. RNAcentral's name for it is "partial 16S ribosomal RNA". It matches the Rfam family "Bacterial small subunit ribosomal RNA", at positions 509 to 809 of the family's 1533-position model. The record is from RNAcentral.
CAGUAGCCGCGGUAACACGUAGGGUCCGAGCGUUGUCCGGAAUUAUUGGGCGUAAAGGGCUCGUAGGCGGUUUGUUGCGUCGGGAGUGAAAACCAGGUGCUUAACACCUGGCCUGCUUUCGAUACGGGCAGACUAGAGGCAUUCAGGGGAGAACGGAAUUCCUGGUGUAGCGGUGAAAUGCGCAGAUAUCAGGAGGAACACCGGUGGCGAAGGCGGUUCUCUGGGCAUUAACUGACGCUGAGGAGCGAAAGCAUGGGGAGCGAACAGGAUUAGAUACCCCUGUAGUCCCUGUCUCUUAUCC